Molecule: long non-coding RNA, 1441 nt
Organism: Raphanus sativus (radish)
Lineage: Eukaryota; Viridiplantae; Streptophyta; Magnoliopsida; Brassicales; Brassicaceae
Exons: 5
Source: RefSeq, a predicted model, not a curated record
CCGACAUAUUACAGAUCGAAACUUAAGACAAAAAUAUCUCUGUCUCUUUCUACUGUCUCAAACUCAUCGAUAUGUGAAGCUCCAUACUCGGAUCUUUGUUUAUCUCAGUUACCAUCCAAAGGCUGUCUCGUCCUCAUCGAUCUGUGAAGAUCCAUAAUCGGAUCUUUGUCUAUCUCAGUUACCAUCGAAAGGCUAUCUCGUCCUCAUCGAUCUAUACUUUACGUUUUGCUUGUAGUGUAGAUUGAGCUGCUAAAUAAUUGUCUCUCUGUUACAAUCCAAAAUUGUUGUCUAGAAAUCUCUAUAGUGGCAUCAUCUUCACUAUAUUUCGAGCUGGAAUCAUUUUUUUUUUUUGAGCAAAGCUGGAAUCAUUUCUGAUCUGAAAAUAAUAGUUUUUAUUUCUAGAAAACUAUCAGAAGCAUCAAUAAAAUCUGAGCUAGACAUCUGCUAGAAAAAAUGAUCUCUAAAAAUAAUAAUUUACGUUUUGCUUGUAGUGUAGAUUGCUUGUCUAGAAAUCUCUAUUGUCUAUCUCAUAUUUCGAGCUGGAAUCAUUUCUGAUCUGAAAAUAAUAGUUUUUUUUUUAAAUUUACAUGCAGGAUCAAAUGAAAAAAGAAUCUUAUGGAAGCUGUUCUGGAUAAAGUUAAUUUAUGUCUGUGAAGUAUGAUAGACGAAAACCUAUCUGAGAUUCUUUGUCUCGAUAUGAUCAAAACAUAGCUCAGAGGUGAUCCACAGCUAUCGAAGCUUGUACCAGAGUAAAUGAGAGCAAGGGAUUAAGUAAGCACAUUAACAUGGAUCUUUUGGCCGAGCUCUUAGAUCAUUCCUUUCUUGAGACAGCCAAUGGAGAAAAAAACAGUUCUUCCAACUUGAUAAAAGGAUUAUGGAGUGCAAUCAGGGAUGUUCACAUUUUCCAUUGGCUUAACAUGUAUGGAGCACUUUAACUUGAACACGCCAUUCUGACUUGAAUGGUCUUAUGUCAGCCAAAGUUGUGACUUCCAUGCUUAAAGAUUUGAUCAUACUCUGUGAGGAUAUCUAUCCGUACAGAGUUUUGCUCUCGUGAUCGGUUCUUUUGCAAGAGAGAGAGUCCGCACGAAGAUUGAAAGAUCGAGGGAGAUAAACAAAUCCGAGAUUCUCUAAAGAGAGUUUUAAGGUAUUUAAUCUCAUCAAGCUCGGGUGCAAGAGUAGGCUAAGGCCAACACAUUUUCAUGCGCGGACUCUCCGUUUAUGCAAUCUUUUUUUGGUAUUCUGUGAGAGCCUUAUAUAUCUUCUGAAGAGACGACCCUACUUUCGUAAUGACGGAUAUAAACUAGACUUUCCAAUAGGGCUAUGGGGUAACACAAAACUUUGGAGAGAUGCAAACUUUUAGAAUGUUAAACCAACGAGACAAUAUGUCUUUUUAGUUUGGGAUUAAACAAAAAUGCAAUACGACUUUAUUGUGCUUGGACAU